Molecule: non-coding RNA, 748 nt
Organism: Camellia sinensis
Lineage: Eukaryota; Viridiplantae; Streptophyta; Magnoliopsida; Ericales; Theaceae
Source: RefSeq, a predicted model, not a curated record
UCCUUUUGUUAGAAAAUUGUCAAGUUGACAAAUUUGACCGUUCCAUUCUGCGAAUCCUUCACACCUCUACCCAAGUAUCUGAAGGGUAUCAAGGUCUAAAAAAAAAAAGUUGAUACAGUAUCCAACACGUCAAAAAGUGUCCAAUGAGUGCUAGUGCCGGACAUGCAUCAAACAUGGAUACGCACCUUCUUAGUUGUGUCAAGAAGUGGGGGAACUACCAGUGGCAGUGGCACAACUUUACUAUAUAUUGUGUUUGUUUGUAGUAUGACCUUAGGUACCAUACUCGUGCUUCUUACAAAAGAGGGAUGCUAAAGGAGAGGAGACUUUACCAGAUUCUUCUGUCAGUUUCUGCUCUUCCAUUGUUUGACUUACGAAUGCUAUUAAUCAUCCCCCUUAUUGCAUAUUCAGGCUUACAACAAGCAUUUGUAUGGGCUGAAUGCACCAAGUACAUUGCGGAACCUGCACUUGGUGAGUCUGGUGUAGGUGGUGCUAUGGCAGCGUAUGGGGCUUUUGAUGCAAUUGUAAGUAUGGCACUGCAGAAAUGAGUAGCUUUAUGGAAUGGUUUACAUGAAUUAGCUCACUUGGUGAGUCUGUUUCUGUUUUACGUACAUUAAUUUUGACAAGGCAUGUUCUUCGUCUCUUUCUUGUUGAGUUGGAGAAAUAAAAAUGAAUUGAGUGAACAACUUUAAAUUUCAUUUACCCUUUCCUUUUGUAAGCAACAAGAAUAACAAAUAAUAUAUAUCCUUUU